ACAGCCAAUUAUGCAAAUAUAUAAAUAUACAAUAUACAAUUCACCAUGUCUUACUUUAAAUACACUUCUUAAAGGAUACAUUCUUAAAAUAUGGGUUUGACUUGGGUUUCACAGAUUUAUCAGUAAGCAGUGAAAACUUGUUUGCCACCAAGGGCUCGGUGGCAUACAAAUAAAACCCGAUACGCAAAUAGAGACAGAAAAAGUGAUACUCUGUUUCGCUCGCACUUAAGUAUUUCACGUUAAUGCCUUCUCUCUUUAGUUAUUAUUGUUAUUUUAGAAGUUCAUCUAGUUCUAUACUCUAUCUACGGUUAUUGCCUGUUUUUAGACCAUAAAUCGUAGAUGAAGAAAGAAAUAGUUUGUCUACUUUUAUUUUUAUCAUAGCUAAAAUAAUUUUUUUGACUUAAUGUUUUUUCACUUUUUGGCUAGAGCAUGCACGGUAUAAUUGUCAUAAAAAUGGUAAAAUGAUUUUAAGAAAAAUCACACUGACCUAAAUUGAACCAAAUACUUGAAAUUCUUACAUAUCAAAGCCAUGAUACUACAGAAUGCCUACGUUAAAGUUUUUUAAUUUUGCUAUAGAAACAUGAAAGGUGGAAGGGUGAAAAACCCAUGCAAAAUAUGUUACGAAACGGUCAAUAAGAAGAAAGGAAUGCAGUGCAAGGGUGCUUGUCAGAAAUGGGCGCAUUAUAAGUGCUUAGAUUUUAGUCCAGGUAAAAUAAAGGAUGUGAAAGAUGGCCAUGUUAAAAUAACCUGCCCGUGUCCCGAUUGUGAUGCACCUGACGCACAGAAGUGUUGUGCAGCUAAGAAAACAUGCACAUCUGCAUCUGGACCGUCUGCAAAGCCUAUACCCUACCCACCGCAAUAUGCACUUCCAUAUACCAGGGAUGCCAUGCCCGUGUCUCACACAUCUUGUGGGAUGAAAUCUGAUGAUGUGUCACUGACAUCCUCUGAUAUAACUUUAUCGCCAAGAACAACGACAGGUUCCACCUCCCCCCAAUUAUUUAUGGCUUGCCCGCCAAAUAAAACAUUUCGUUCGAAACAAACAUCUCCAAAAAUUUCGCCAGAACCCUCGCGUUGUGGACCUUGUUGUGCAAAGAAAAGAACACAUUCUACGUCCGCAUUGGAAUCGUCAUCUUCUGACAGUGGCAUUAAUGUAAAAUGUGUCCCUCGACGGGCAUCAUCAAGCGAUUCAAAGUUACCUACUGCGUCAAACCAAAAAGAGCUGAUUGUAAGCCUUGAUGAAAUGUGCAAAACUGUUGGAAGACUUUCAUGCCAGCUCAGAGAGCUGAUGUUUAAAAUGAUUGAAAGCAAUAAACUUUAAUAAUAAUUACAGGAAACCUUACUACUUAAA
Pieris napi is the source of this 1348-nucleotide long non-coding RNA. RefSeq lists it as uncharacterized. The transcript has 2 exons. Lineage: Eukaryota; Metazoa; Arthropoda; Insecta; Lepidoptera; Pieridae. The record is from RefSeq and is a predicted model, not a curated record.